This is a long non-coding RNA of Ctenopharyngodon idella (grass carp), 1127 nucleotides long. RefSeq lists it as uncharacterized. The transcript has 4 exons. NCBI's taxonomy places the organism in Eukaryota, Metazoa, Chordata, Actinopteri, Cypriniformes, Xenocyprididae. The record is from RefSeq and is a predicted model, not a curated record.
ACUAAUUGUUAGCCAACAUGUUUCAAAUGUACAAUCCGUGUGUUUAAAUGGACCAGAAUGUAGUCACGCCCCUGCAUUACAUUGAAGCACACACCCUCUUCUCUCUGAUCAGACCCCUAAGAUCAUUUGUAACAUUGUUCAAAACAGGGUUUCGGGAGUUGCUGUUCAUCUAAACUCUACAGCUAUGGACUCAAGAACGGUGUUUGUCUUAUUAUGGAUGUUACUGUUGUCCACCUCCACUGGAAUCAAACUAGAUGGAAAUGGUUAUGUUGGCGUCACCAUUGCAAUCAGUUCAAGAGUACCACAGGAUAACACGCUCAUUGAUAAAAUCAAGGACAUGGUCACUAAAGGGUCGUUUCGUCUUCAUCAAGCAUUGGAUAAAAAGGUCUAUUUCAAAGAAGCAACGAUAUUAGUUCCACCCAACUGGAAUAGUAAGGAAUUUACCAAAGCAAGAGCAGAGUCCUAUGAAAAGGUACAGUGAAUUAUGCCAUUUUAUCUUAUGUGUCAUAUAUUAAUGUUUACUCAUUUCAUUAACAUACUUCUGACAAUUUCAAUGUGAAAUACAGGCAAAAAUAAGAAUUGAUAAUGCUAAUCCAGCAUAUAGUGAUGAACCUUACACUCAUCAGUAUGUUGAAUGUGGAGCUGAGGCUCAGUACAUUCAUUUCACCCCAAACUUCCUCCGAGACGACAAACUCAUUAAGACUUAUGGGUCAAGAGGAAAGGUCUUGGUUCAUGAAUGGGCUCAUCUGAGAUGGGGCGUGUAUGAUGAAUACAGUGAAACAAAACCAUUCUACUACUCUAAUGGCCGUAUUGAAGCUACAAGGUGUAGCAAAAACAUUGAAGGUCAGUUUUAUGAUGAAUCACUUCGACCGUGCCACACUGAUCCACAAACUUUACUACCAACUAAGGGGUGCAGUUUUUUUCCUAACAAAUAUCAAUGCAUCGGGUUGUUUGUCUCGUCCUUGAUGGCUCAGGACGCAUGAAAGUAUGCCAUAACAUUAACUUUACUUGAAAACAAAGAUGCUUCCAAUUAUUAUAACCUUCAAUGCUCUGAUAUGAGCUUAAUCACUUUGAAACCUAAGAAAGCAUUAAACCUGAUAUCACAUGCAUUUUUUUAUUGCACCCAU